CAAUUGUAAAUUCUUUCUCUGUUCCUUUGAGAUGUAAAUCUUCUCACAGCCUCUUGUCACUUUUACAACCCAGAAAUGUCUUUCUCAGGGACCUGGUAGCCAUCCAUCCCUUUGAAAUACAAUCAUCAAGAAAUAUAGCACUCCUUUCUUCCAGUCCUCUCUGUGGGAGGGUAGGAGCCUAACUUUCAUAAACACCAACUAGUAAACACAAAUGUCCUAAUCACGUUGAUCAACCUCCUCCCUAAUGCCCUCUAGUACUUUUCCACUAUCUCACUCCAGUUUUUAUUUCAGUGGAGUUAAAUUCAAUCUCUCUCUUCUAUGACAAUAGUCUCAAAGAAAGUCUUCCUUGCCAGUUUAACUCUGUCCAGUGCAAUAUUUCUUUGACACCCCAUGUCCCUACUUUUCAAGUGUAUCUUCCCCUGUGGUUUGAGUUCAGCAUAGAUCUCUUCUUAUUUGUGUAUGAACCUUAAUUUUAAUGACCAAGAACUUGACCAUGGUCCCAAAAUGAAAAUCUUUCAUGGCUCCUUUCUAGUGCCAUAGGAAUCCUAAUUGGCAUAUGGUAACCAGUAUGACCUUUCAUAGAUUUUAUUGAAGGGUGGAAGAGAUGCAUUCGUAUUAGGCUUCUCUGUAGCUCUUUAUUCAUUGAUGAAGAAGAGUAUCCAAUGAAUGACAGACAAAAAGACUGAUAUUUAAUGAGCAUCUAAUAUGUACAAGGCAUUCAUCUCACUUCUUUAUGUAAAUGUUCUCGUUUAAUCCUCAAAAAUCACCGUAUGAGAUAUGUGUUAAGCAUCUCCAUUUUUCAGAUGAAGAAACUGAAAUGAAAAAAUGGGAAAUGGCGGGGUCAAGAUUCUCAGCCAGGUCCGGCUGACUCAAACACUUGAACUUUUUUUCUUUAUUCCUUGAUGGCCUAUUUUUAUUCAAUUGAGAAACAUAUCUAAUAUGGAUUUUUGUUUUUGCUAUUUAAAUGCUUCAGUCAUCAUUAAUUAUUUUUGAGAAUAAGAGAUCCUUAGACCCAUAAGAAGGGGAAAAAGGGAAAAAUAAUUUGAAGGGAGAAAACUAUUCUGAUAUGCAAACCUUUAUCUAUUUUUUUAAUAACUGCGUUAGUUGUAUAUAUGUUUUUCAAAAGGUUAAUGAUAUUUUUCUCCUAAAUUCUUAAGAAAUAGAGAUGAGGAGUAGAGAGGAAAUGGGAUUGAAAAAUCACAGAGUUUGAACCAGGACAAACAGGGUACAGGGUUCAAAUAUUGGCUUCAUUGCAUGCACAACAUGUGCCUUAAGGCAAGUUAUAUAAAGCCUCUGGGCCUCAGUUCCCAAAAGCAAAAAUAAAACCUUUCCUCUUUACCUUACAAGUUUAUUGCAAAGAUCACAUAACUCGUAAGGGCAUGAACUCUGUAAACUGCAAAUUGCCAGACCAAAUUUAAUUAUACUCAUUUUCCUAUGGAUAAAUGAGAACUGAGUUUCCUUCCCAUUAAAAUACUAUCAGUGUGUGCUUCUCUAUCAUACAUUAAGAUAUAUCACUUAAAAUGCUUGAGCCUAUUCUUUUUCUGUAUUUCCCAGACAUACUUAGUGUCAAUUCUUAGAGAUUCUUUGUUCCUAAAACUGAGUAAGAAUUCAGGAUUAAGGUCUUAGAACCAGAGGAUAAUUGAAAAACCAUAUAUUUUGAUCUGCAGUAAACAUUGAAGGAAAUUUACUCAAGUCUCUUUUACUCUGCACAGUUUGUUUUAUGUAAACAAGAGCACAGAAUUCAAUGGGAUUUUCAGAAAUAUUCAGCUCAUAAAUUGUUCCUGCUGAGCAUCACUAUCCUAUAAACAUCACUCUAAUUUGGGAAAUUGCCAGAGAACUCUUAACGUUCAUACCAAACUUCUAUUUCUUUCACUUUUACUAUUCUUUCCUCUGACAUGUGGUUUCCUUAGCUCUCCCAGAAAUGAAUAGAAAGCCUUCUCUCUUUGGGUCUUACUCCCAUGUUGCAGCCAAUUUGACUCAACCACAGUUAUACUAAAUAU
Equus caballus (horse) is the source of this 2000-nucleotide long non-coding RNA. Lineage: Eukaryota; Metazoa; Chordata; Mammalia; Perissodactyla; Equidae. The record is from Ensembl.